Molecule: ribosomal RNA, 199 nt
Filed under: uncultured bacterium
Lineage: Bacteria
Description: partial 16S ribosomal RNA
Rfam family: Bacterial small subunit ribosomal RNA
Source: RNAcentral
ACGCUCGACACCUACGGGAGGCGGCAGUCGGGAAUAUUGCGCAAUGGAGGAAACUCUGACGCAGUGACGCCGCGUAUGGGAAGAAGGUUUUCGGAUUGUAAACCAUUUUAGACAAGGAAGAAACAAGACAGUACUUGUAGAAUAAGCUCCGGCUAACUACGUGCCAGCAGCCGUGGUAAUCUGAGCGGGCUGGCAAGGC